UAUGGAUUCGAGGAUCCGUGUAACGACCUCGUCUAGGAGCAAAGUUUAUUCUGAUGAGACCACAUCGUCACCGAGAAUAAGUGUAGCCGAUGACUAUUACUGGAGAAGGUCUUGUGACUCCGAAAGCUCUAUUUACGAAGCCGUUCUUCAUUGCAAGAAAUCAUUCGAGAAAUGAGAAGAAUACAUGGAGGAGGAGCAGGUAGAAGUAGUAGAGAUGGAGAAUAUUAAGCUUAAGAGAAUAAGCAAAUUGCAUUAACACGUUACACCUGGAGUGGGAGAAAGAGAGAGAGCAACUUGUGAUGUGUCUUUUUGUUGUUUCUCUCUCUUGAAUUAAAGAGAUUGAUGUGAAUGAUCCAUGUGAAUGUGUCAUCUGAUGUGGAUCAAGAAUGUUUUUGUUUUUUUACAUGAGUGGGCACAUUUAUAAAAAUAUAUAUAUGGGGCUGCAAGCAGAAUCAAGAAAAUAUUUUCAGAUUUUCUUGGCUAUUUUUUUCUCCAUAUAUUUGAGAGCCAUGAAAGUUAAAUAGUUUCUUUUUAUAUAUUAUGGAAGUAAAACUAUAAGUGACUGCCUACCCAUGUUUACUU
Molecule: non-coding RNA, 582 nt
Organism: Camelina sativa (false flax)
Lineage: Eukaryota; Viridiplantae; Streptophyta; Magnoliopsida; Brassicales; Brassicaceae
Source: RefSeq, a predicted model, not a curated record